This 468-nucleotide ribosomal RNA is filed under the name uncultured bacterium. Its description in RNAcentral is "partial 16S ribosomal RNA". It matches the Rfam family "Bacterial small subunit ribosomal RNA", at positions 28 to 507 of the family's 1533-position model. The record is from RNAcentral.
GACGAACGCUGGCGGCGUGCUUAACACAUGCAAGUCGAACGGAAAGGCCCUGCUUUUGUGGGGUGCUCGAGUGGCGAACGGGUGAGUAACACGUGAGUAACCUGCCCUUGACUUUGGGAUAACUUCAGGAAACUGGGGCUAAUACCGGAUAGGAGCUCCUGCUGCAUGGUGGGGGUUGGAAAGUUUCGGCGGUUGGGGAUGGACUCGCGGCUUAUCAGCUUGUUGGUGGGGUAGUGGCUUACCAAGGCUUUGACGGGUAGCCGGCCUGAGAGGGUGACCGGCGACAUGGGGCCUGAGAGACGGACCAGACUCCUACGGGAGGCAGCAGUGGGGAAUAUUGCACAAUGGGCGGAAGCCUGAUGCAGCAACGCCGCGUGCGGGAUGACGGCCUUCGGGUUGUAAACCGCUUUCGCCUGUGACGAAGCGUGAGUGACGGUAAUGGGUAAAGAAGCACCGGCUAACUACGUG